UGCACCAACACCUAGUCCUACCUCUAUUGCUCCCGCUAUCUUCUCUAUUCUGAAAGGUCUUGAAGAACAGUUAGUGGUUAACACCAAGAAAUUUCAACACUAAAAUUAUGGGUUGAAACAAUUUCACCAACCCUUUGUCAAAUUUGUCAUAUUUGUUUUUUGGAUGCUUUGAUGAAUAAGAGCUCAUUAUGAUCUUCCACUUUCACGGUCUGUCAUCGGCGCGCCGUCAUUUCCACCGUUUGUCGUGAGGGGGAGUAUGUUUCCAGCCAGGUUUCAGGUUUCAGGCUUUUAGACUCCACUAGUCAAUGAUGGUAGUCCUUGCAGUUUUUUUUCGCUUCUAGCCACUACAGGCCCCACUAGUCAGUGAUGACAUUCCCUGUAGUUUUGUUGCUUUUAGCCACUACAGGCCCCAUCAGUCAGUGAUGACAUUCCCUGUAGUUUUGUCGCUUUUAGCCACUAUAGGCCCCAUCAGUUAGUGAUGACAAUCCCUAUAGUUUUGAUACAAGCCCC
This 510-nucleotide long non-coding RNA is filed under the name Vigna radiata. RNAcentral's name for it is "long non-coding RNA (VRAD_LNC005939)". The record is from RNAcentral. Lineage: Eukaryota; Viridiplantae; Streptophyta; Magnoliopsida; Fabales; Fabaceae.